GACGAACGCUGGCGGCAUGCCUAAUACAUGCAAGUCGAGCGAACAGAUGAAGUGCUUGCACUUCUGACGUUAGCGGCGAACGGGUGAGUAACACGUAAGGAAUCUACCUAUAAGCGGGGGAUAACAUUCGGAAACGGGUGCUAAUACCGCAUAAUAUCUUCUUCCGCAUGGAAGAAGAUUGAAAGACGGCUCUGCUGUCACUUAUAGAUGACCUUGCGGUGCAUUAGUUAGUUGGUGGGGUAACGGCCUACCAAGACGAUGAUGCAUAGCCGACCUGGGAGGGUGAUCGGCCACAUUGAAACUGAGACACGGCCCAAACUCCUACGGGAGGCAGCAGUAGGGAAUCUUCCGCAAUGGGCGAAAGCCUGACGGAGCAAUGCCGCGUGAGUGAAGAAGGCCUUCGGGUCGUAAAACUCUGUUAUAAGAGAAGAACAAAUUGUAGAGUAACUGCUACAGUCUUGACGGUAUCUUAUCAGAAAGCCACGGCUAACUACGUGCCAGCCGCCGCCGUAA
This 513-nucleotide ribosomal RNA is filed under the name uncultured bacterium. RNAcentral's name for it is "partial 16S ribosomal RNA". It matches the Rfam family "Bacterial small subunit ribosomal RNA", at positions 28 to 523 of the family's 1533-position model. The record is from RNAcentral.